This is a long non-coding RNA of Phragmites australis (common reed), 763 nucleotides long. RefSeq lists it as uncharacterized. The transcript has 2 exons. The record is from RefSeq and is a predicted model, not a curated record. NCBI's taxonomy places the organism in Eukaryota, Viridiplantae, Streptophyta, Magnoliopsida, Poales, Poaceae.
AAGCACAUUUUCUUUUCAGCCCAUGUGCAUUUCCUUCUCCUGUUGAACCAGCCCACACCCUCCUCUUCUCCUUUUCUGCAGCACAGAACCAGAGAGCAGGCCACAUGCUUUUCUCCUUCCUCCAGCCGCAAUAACAUCAGCCGAGCUGCACCUGUACUACCUCAGCCCAUGGCCUCAAACCAAAUCAAAUCCGGAUUGAAUUCCUCUCUAUCUCCAAACCAAACCACCAUAGAUCCUCUCCUCUAUCUCCAAGAGUCCACGUGAGCCCAGCUGCAAUCUCUCUCCUCUAUCUCCAAGAGUCCAUACAGGAUCAAAUCUCCACCCAAAUCCAAUCGGAUAGAGCUGCAACCAAAUCUUUCAAAUCCCAACCGAUUUACCUUAGCUACCACCUAUAUAAAGAGGAGGUCUUGAUCUGUUGAAAAAAAAAAGAAAAAUUAGAGGAGGGGGGAGGCUUGGACACCUUGGUGAGGCCCUAUCGCAUCCAAUUGCUGCCGCACGAAAUCGCCGCCGCCGCCGCGCAAGUCCGCCGCGUACCGUGAACACAGAGCGCAAGCCGUCGUCGCCAUGAACACCAGCUGCAUCUCCACCGCUAUUGACUCGCAAGCUGUGGUUGCUAUCCAGAUUGCUUGCAGUGGCUAUGCGCAGGGAUAAGUUAUUUAAAGGGCUUCAUUUGUGGUAGCCCUGUUGAUUUGUUCAAUAAGCCUGAUGGUGACUUGGUGGUAUUGCUAAAGAGCUAUCUGUUGCUAAAGGUGUUGCUGGGUUA